This 422-nucleotide ribosomal RNA is filed under the name uncultured bacterium. Its description in RNAcentral is "bacterial SSU rRNA". It matches the Rfam family "Bacterial small subunit ribosomal RNA", at positions 355 to 774 of the family's 1533-position model. The record is from RNAcentral.
UGAGGAAUAUUGGACAAUGGGCGCAAGCCUGAUCCAGCCAUGCCGCGUGCAGGAUGACGGUCCUAUGGAUUGUAAACUGCUUUUGCACAGGAAGAAACAACGCUACGUGUAGCGUCUUGACGGUACUGUGAGAAUAAGGAUCGGCUAACUCCGUGCCAGCAGCCGCGGUAAUACGGAGGAUCCAAGCGUUAUCCGGAAUCAUUGGGUUUAAAGGGUCCGUAGGCGGUUUAGUAAGUCAGUGGUGAAAGCCCAUCGCUCAACGGUGGAACGGCCAUUGAUACUGCUAGACUUGAAUUAUUAGGAAGUAACUAGAAUAUGUAGUGUAGCGGUGAAAUGCUUAGAGAUUACAUGGAAUACCAAUUGCGAAGGCAGGUUACUACUAAUGGAUUGACGCUGAUGGACGAAAGCGUGGGUAGCGAACA